UCAGCCUUUGGCUUAUUUCACUUAGCAUGAUGUUCUCCAGCUCCAUCCAUUUACUGACAAAUGCCAUAAUUUGAUUCUUCUUUCAGGCUGAGUAAUAUUCCAUUAUGUGUAUAUACCAUAUUUUCUUCAUCCGUUCAUUUGUUGAAGGGCAUGUAGGUUGAUUCCAAAGUUUAGCUGUUGUGAAUUGAGCUGCUAUAAACAUUGACGUGGCUAUAUCACUGUAGUAUGCUGAUUUUAAGUCCUUUGGGUAUAAACCAAGGAGUGGGAUAGCUGGAUCCAAUGGUGGUUCCUUUCAAAGUUUUCUGAGGAAUCUCCAUACUGCUUUCCAUAGUGGUUGCACCAAUUUGCAGCCCCACCAGCAAUGUAUGAGUAUACAUUUUCCUCCACAUCCUCGCCAACAUUUAUUGUUGCUUCUCUUCUCUAUAAUUGCCAUUCACACUAGAGUGAGAUGGAAUCUCGGUAUAAUUUUGAUUUGCAUUUCUCUAAUUGCUAGAGAUAUUGAACAUUUUUUCAUAUAUUUGUCAAUUGUAUUUCUUCUGUGAAGUGUCUCUUCAGUUCCUUAGCCCAUUUAUUGAUUGGGAUGCAUCCUGGGAUGAACUCCGCUUGAUCAAGGUACACUAUCUUUUUAAAAUGUUUUAGUAUGCAGUUUGCCAGAAUAUUAUUGAAAAUUUUUGCACAUCUGUUUAUCAGGGAUAUUGGUCUGAAAUUUUCUUUCCUUAAUUUGUCUGUCUGGUUUUGGUAUCAGGGUGAUACUAGCCUCUUAGAAUAAGUUUGGAAAGGUUUCCUCCUUUUCUAUUUUAUGGAAUAAUUUAAGGAGUAUUGAUGUUAAUUCCUCUUUGAAGGUCUUGUAGAACUUGGCUGAGAAUCUGUCUGGUCCUGGGCUUUUUUCAGUUGGUAGGCUUUUGAUGGUAUCUUCUAUUUCCUUGCUUGAAAUUGAUCUGUUUAAAUUGUGUGUGUCCUCCUGAUUCAUUUUGGGUAAGUGAUAUGUCUCUAGAAAUUUGUCGAUGUCUAAAAGAUUUUCUAUUUUAUUGAAGUAUAAAUUUUCAAAAUAGUUUCUAAUUGUCUUCUAUAUUUCAGUAGUGUCUGUUGUGAUGUUUCCUUUUUCAUCAUGAAUUUUAAUAACUUGAGUUUUCUCUUUUUCUUCAUUAGUGUGGCUUAAGUGUUUAUCAAUUUUACUUAUUUUUUUCCAAGAAACAACUUUUUGUUUUGUCGAUUUUUUUUGAAUUGUUUCUUUUGUUUCCAUUUCAUUGAUUUCAGCUCCGAUUUUUAUUAUUACCUGUCUUAUGCUUUUGGUGUUGAUUUUUCUUUUUCUAGGGCUUUGAGAUGUAAUGUUAAGUCAUUUAUUCAUUGACUUUGUAUUCUUUUAAUGAAUAAGCUUAAUGCAGUGAACUUUCCUCUUAGGAGUGCCUUCGUAGUGUCCCAAAGGUUUUGAUAUGUUGUUUUGGUGUUCUUAUUUACCCCUAAGUAUUUUUUUUUUAUUUCAUCCCUGAUUUCUUAUUCAAAUAGCAUAUUAUUUAGUCUUCAAAUGUUGGAGUAGCUUCUAUUUUAUAAUUUUAUCAUUGAUUUCUAAUUUCAUACCACAAUGAUCUGAUAGAAUGCA
Molecule: long non-coding RNA, 1600 nt
Filed under: Marmota monax (woodchuck)
Lineage: Eukaryota; Metazoa; Chordata; Mammalia; Rodentia; Sciuridae
Source: RNAcentral